RNAcentral lists this ribosomal RNA (2902 nucleotides) under Klebsiella pneumoniae. RNAcentral's name for it is "23S ribosomal RNA". It matches the Rfam family "Bacterial large subunit ribosomal RNA". Lineage: Bacteria; Pseudomonadati; Pseudomonadota; Gammaproteobacteria; Enterobacterales; Enterobacteriaceae. The record is from RNAcentral.
GGUUAAGCGACUAAGCGUACACGGUGGAUGCCCUGGCAGUCAGAGGCGAUGAAGGACGUGCUAAUCUGCGAAAAGCGUCGGUAAGGUGAUAUGAACCGUUAUAACCGGCGAUGUCCGAAUGGGGAAACCCAGUGUGAUUCGUCACACUAUCGUUAACUGAAUACAUAGGUUAACGAGGCGAACCGGGGGAACUGAAACAUCUAAGUACCCCGAGGAAAAGAAAUCAACCGAGAUUCCCCCAGUAGCGGCGAGCGAACGGGGAGCAGCCCAGAGUCUGAAUCAGCUUGUGUGUUAGUGGAACGGUCUGGAAAGUCCGACGGUACAGGGUGAUAGUCCCGUACACCAAAAUGCACAGGUUGUGAACUCGAAGAGUAGGGCGGGACACGUGGUAUCCUGUCUGAAUAUGGGGGGACCAUCCUCCAAGGCUAAAUACUCCUGACUGACCGAUAGUGAACCAGUACCGUGAGGGAAAGGCGAAAAGAACCCCGGCGAGGGGAGUGAAAAAGAACCUGAAACCGUGUACGUACAAGCAGUGGGAGCACCUUCGGGUGUGACUGCGUACCUUUUGUAUAAUGGGUCAGCGACUUAUAUUCUGUAGCAAGGUUAACCGUAUAGGGGAGCCGCAGGGAAACCGAGUCUUAACUGGGCGUUAAGUUGCAGGGUAUAGACCCGAAACCCGGUGAUCUAGCCAUGGGCAGGUUGAAGGUUGGGUAACACUAACUGGAGGACCGAACCGACUAAUGUUGAAAAAUUAGCGGAUGACUUGUGGCUGGGGGUGAAAGGCCAAUCAAACCGGGAGAUAGCUGGUUCUCCCCGAAAGCUAUUUAGGUAGCGCCUCGUGAAUUCAUCUUCGGGGGUAGAGCACUGUUUCGGCUAGGGGGUCAUCCCGACUUACCAACCCGAUGCAAACUACGAAUACCGAAGAAUGUUAUCACGGGAGACACACGGCGGGUGCUAACGUCCGUCGUGAAGAGGGAAACAACCCAGACCGCCAGCUAAGGUCCCAAAGUCAUGGUUAAGUGGGAAACGAUGUGGGAAGGCACAGACAGCCAGGAUGUUGGCUUAGAAGCAGCCAUCAUUUAAAGAAAGCGUAAUAGCUCACUGGUCGAGUCGGCCUGCGCGGAAGAUGUAACGGGGCUAAACCAUGCACCGAAGCUGCGGCAGCGACACUAUGUGUUGUUGGGUAGGGGAGCGUUCUGUAAGCCUGCGAAGGUGACCUGUGAGGGUUGCUGGAGGUAUCAGAAGUGCGAAUGCUGACAUAAGUAACGAUAAAGCGGGUGAAAAGCCCGCUCGCCGGAAGACCAAGGGUUCCUGUCCAACGUUAAUCGGGGCAGGGUGAGUCGACCCCUAAGGCGAGGCCGAAAGGCGUAGUCGAUGGGAAACAGGUUAAUAUUCCUGUACUUGGUGUUACUGCGAAGGGGGGACGGAGAAGGCUAUGUUAGCCGGGCGACGGUUGUCCCGGUUUAAGCAUGUAGGCUGGUUGUCCAGGCAAAUCCGGAUAAUCAAGGCUGAGGUGUGAUGACGAGGUACUACGGUGCUGAAGUAACAAAUGCCCUGCUUCCAGGAAAAGCCUCUAAGCAUCAGGUAACAUUAAAUCGUACCCCAAACCGACACAGGUGGUCAGGUAGAGAAUACCAAGGCGCUUGAGAGAACUCGGGUGAAGGAACUAGGCAAAAUGGUGCCGUAACUUCGGGAGAAGGCACGCUGGUGUGUAGGUGAAGUCCCUGCGGAUGGAGCUGAGACCAGUCGAAGAUACCAGCUGGCUGCAACUGUUUAUUAAAAACACAGCACUGUGCAAACACGAAAGUGGACGUAUACGGUGUGACGCCUGCCCGGUGCCGGAAGGUUAAUUGAUGGGGUUAUCCGUAAGGAGAAGCUCUUGAUCGAAGCCCCGGUAAACGGCGGCCGUAACUAUAACGGUCCUAAGGUAGCGAAAUUCCUUGUCGGGUAAGUUCCGACCUGCACGAAUGGCGUAAUGAUGGCCAGGCUGUCUCCACCCGAGACUCAGUGAAAUUGAACUCGCUGUGAAGAUGCAGUGUACCCGCGGCAAGACGGAAAGACCCCGUGAACCUUUACUAUAGCUUGACACUGAACAUUGAGCCUUGAUGUGUAGGAUAGGUGGGAGGCUUUGAAGCGUGGACGCCAGUCUGCGUGGAGCCAACCUUGAAAUACCACCCUUUAAUGUUUGAUGUUCUAACGUUGGCCCCUUACCGGGGUUGCGGACAGUGUCUGGUGGGUAGUUUGACUGGGGCGGUCUCCUCCCAAAGCGUAACGGAGGAGCACGAAGGUUAGCUAAUCCUGGUCGGACAUCAGGAGGUUAGUGCAAUGGCAUAAGCUAGCUUGACUGCGAGCGUGACGGCGCGAGCAGGUGCGAAAGCAGGUCAUAGUGAUCCGGUGGUUCUGAAUGGAAGGGCCAUCGCUCAACGGAUAAAAGGUACUCCGGGGAUAACAGGCUGAUACCGCCCAAGAGUUCAUAUCGACGGCGGUGUUUGGCACCUCGAUGUCGGCUCAUCACAUCCUGGGGCUGAAGUAGGUCCCAAGGGUAUGGCUGUUCGCCAUUUAAAGUGGUACGCGAGCUGGGUUUAGAACGUCGUGAGACAGUUCGGUCCCUAUCUGCCGUGGGCGCUGGAGAAUUGAGGGGGGCUGCUCCUAGUACGAGAGGACCGGAGUGGACGCAUCACUGGUGUUCGGGUUGUCAUGCCAAUGGCACUGCCCGGUAGCUAAAUGCGGAAGAGAUAAGUGCUGAAAGCAUCUAAGCACGAAACUUGCCCCGAGAUGAGUUCUCCCUGAGACUUUAAGUCUCCUGAAGGAACGUUAAAGACGAUGACGUUGAUAGGCCGGGUGUGUAAGCGCAGCGAUGCGUUGAGCUAACCGGUACUAAUGAACCGUGAGGCUUAACCUU